CAGGAAAUCUAGGUAUCUCUUCGAGUAUAAAUUUUAAAAUGCAGCCAUAAAUGAAUUACAACUAAUCAGUGAGCAAUGGCACUAAAGGCAAAAAGAUUUUAUUAUAUAUUUUCUUAAUAUUUUUAUUUUUAUCUAUUCUUUAAGAAGUUAAUUAUAGGCUCCACUGAAAAUGUUGACGUAAAACCCAUGUAUUUAUAUACAUAUUCAUACAGUAAAAAUUGUUUAUAAUGACGUUCAAGGGACAAAGGAAAAUAGAUCAUAAUGAACGUUUGUCAUAAUAAUCAAAAUUAUGAAGAAAAAAAAUUGUAACUUCAAUACAUAUAGAAAAAAAAUUCUUCAAAUUUUGUUUUUGGACUACAUUAUUCCAAUAUAACCAAAAAUAACCGUCAAAACAUCCGUAAGCCAUUACACAGACGUCAUAAUAAUGGAUACAAAUUAGUACAUGCAAUAUAUAGGAGUCUUGCAGGGAUUUUUAAACUAAGCUUGUACAUGACGUGACAGGCAAGGAUUCAAUAGGGGUGAUAAAAAGUAAAGUUAGCGGACGCUUUCAAUCAAAAUGGAUAACCAUCAGACCUGCUACAGUAUUUUCAUUCAUCCAAUCAUGGUUUAUUCAUAAGCAAGAAAAUUAAUUUUACAGUGGAGCAGAAAUUUCUGGCAUAUAAAAGAUAUACCGCAAAAAUAAUUUUAGACUUGAAGUUAACAUAUCAUUUUCUUAGAAACAACAGAAUAGCUGCACCCAUUUUUUUUUUUAUUUCUUCCUCUUUCCUUAUUUUAACUUUUGUUAACCAAAAUUCUUUAGGUAAUAUAACUUCAUCAAAAAACUGAUCUUGGUUUAUUAUAUUAAACAUUAUUUUCUCUCAGUUUCCAUUAACCGGGACAAAUUAAAUGACUGACUAGGACACUGAGGUAUGCUGUUAAAAUUGAGACGAAUGGUAAGCCUACUUAUAAGGUACCUUCUUUUAUACUUCUAACUUUGAAAACAAUUUUUGACAUUUCAUGAUUUUCUUAAGAACAUAUUACUUAAAUAUAAAACUACCUUUGAGUAAAACAAAUUUUUUUCUUUGUUUACCUACCUUUAAAUUA
Aphis gossypii (cotton aphid) is the source of this 1083-nucleotide long non-coding RNA. RefSeq lists it as uncharacterized. NCBI's taxonomy places the organism in Eukaryota, Metazoa, Arthropoda, Insecta, Hemiptera, Aphididae. The record is from RefSeq and is a predicted model, not a curated record. The transcript is spliced from 4 exons.